UACGGGGGGGGCAAGCGUUGUUCGGAAUUACUGGGCGUAAAGGGCGCGUAGGCGGUCAGACUAAGUCAGAUGUAAAAUUUUAGGGCUUAACCCUAAUAGGUCAUUUGAUACUGGUCGACUAGAGUGUGGAAGGGGUUACUGGAAUUCCUGGUGUAGCGGUGAAAUGCGUAGAUAUCAGGAGGAACACCGGAGGCGAAGGCGGGUAACUGGGCCAACACUGACGCUGAGGCGCGAAAGCUAGGGGAGCAAACAGG
RNAcentral lists this ribosomal RNA (254 nucleotides) under uncultured bacterium. RNAcentral describes it as "partial 16S ribosomal RNA". It matches the Rfam family "Bacterial small subunit ribosomal RNA", at positions 524 to 776 of the family's 1533-position model. The record is from RNAcentral.